Oncorhynchus tshawytscha (Chinook salmon) is the source of this 2414-nucleotide long non-coding RNA. NCBI's taxonomy places the organism in Eukaryota, Metazoa, Chordata, Actinopteri, Salmoniformes, Salmonidae. The record is from Ensembl.
GUCGCGGCAAGAAAUUACGUGUCCGAUACCGAGUACAACUGUAUCCAAGACCGAGACACUCAAUAUGUGGUCUCGAGUACUACAACACUGGUUAAGCGCACGAAUGCUUGCACAAUUGCAACAUUAUAACGUAUGUCAUGAGCCAGUCAGUGGAUACUGUUACAAAACAUGAAUACGUCAUUCACGUUCACUAGGAAUUUGGCGCGUAAAUUAACUACGUUAAAAAUCUUUAUUUUUGGGACACCUUAUGCCAUCCUUUGAUUGGCCAAGCAUACCAUCAGUCACCAUUUAACCGCACCUAUCCCCACCCCCAUCCAACCACUGGGUUUAAUGUGCUAUAUGUUUACUACAGUAUUAGUAAUAAGAGAACGUCACUCUACAAACUGUGAACUCAACCACAAAAUAUAGCUCUUUAGUUUCAUUGAAGAAGAGAACCUACAUUCCAACAUGCCCAAGAGAAAGGGAGCUGAUGGCGAUGUCAAGGAGGAGCCUUCAAGGAGAUCUGCACGGUUGUCAUCGAAACCAGUACCUUCAAAACCAUCACCAAAUCCAAAAAAGCCAGCUAAGAAAGAAAAAGAAGUAAAUAACAAGAAGAAGGCGAAGGCAGCAGCGGUCGGGGAGCCUAAAGAGGAGACCCAGACUGAAAAUGGCGAGAUCAAGACAGAUGAAGUAUGUCAUGCCAUAUCAGUGAUACACGGUCUCAUUUCUUUUACCAAGGUUGAAGGUUGAUGUUUUUAGUUAGUCGUUGUAUCUUACUAUUUCUGUAGGCAAAUCCAUCUAAAAGCAUUAAUCAUUCAGGAUUCUCAGUGUGUCACAGUGAAUGGCUCUUUUGUCACCUUACAGGUAGAGACUCCAGAUGAGAAGACUGAGUAGCACUACUCCCGUCCAUCCAAUCCCCUCCCUUGUAUGGCCCCCAAGUCUCAUAUGUUAUCCCUAAAACAUCCAUUACCUUAACAGAGGAAUAUUUUUAUCAACAAUUUUGUAAUUGGUACAGGGUUUUAGCUCAAAACACAGCUAAAUAUGGAGGAUUGUUCUGUUGUGCAGUGGUCAUAAAGUGUUUUUAAGCAAACAUAAUUACGGUUUUGUUUAUUUAUUAGUUUUGGUACCUUGUUGGGACUUUAAAAAAUAAUGCUGGAUGGCAGACUAAUUGCAGGUGGUGUAGUGUCACAUUGUAGGUUCGCCAACUCAGAACAUUUCACUUUUGUAGGUGGUUGUAUUUUUAUUCUUUAUGUACAGUGGUUUUUCUUUGGGAGGUGUUUACUUAUUUUCAAUUUGAUUGUCUGUAAGCAAUUUUGGAAACAUUUGAAACAUUCCAGGCUUAAAGGACAAUUUCACAAUUUUUCAACUUCAUAUUCAUAAUCUCGAGGACCACCGCAACAACAUGUGAAAAUUGCUAGUUUGUUUUGUUGUUAAAAAAUAGGAAUAUUUUCAAUGACCCCAUCAGUGUGCAUGGUGUGAUUUUAACAAAUGAGUUACCAUCAUUAGCUACUAAUUGGACACUUCCUCAGUUUUUUUAUCACAAAACAUAGAAACCUCACAUUUUCACAUAUGUUGAUGUUGUGCUGGAGAUUAAGCAGAACAUUUUUUAAAUUUCACUAAUGUGGGCAUACCUGCUUUUUAAAUAAUCUUGCUCUGAAUUAUUUUGACACAAAUGAUUUAAACAGAGGAAGAGGCUUGUUGGAAGUUGAUUAUACUUUUUGAAACAAAUGUUGGGAUUUUAACACUGAAAAUUAAUCUAUUGAAAUAUGCAGCUGUGUUCCCACUGAAGUUCUGGAUAUUUAAUUGGAAUUUAAUAAAAUAGUAAUUUCUCAUGAGGUUGCGCAAGGUCUCAUGACUUUACGUGUCAUUAUUACUGUAUCAUUACCAUAUCUAAACUCAAUAGUAGACCAUCUAGCCAACCAGUUGUUCUGAUUGUUAUUGUGGUAUGUAUAUUAUUGUAAUACUGAUAUAUAGUUAACAUUCUUAUAACAGAUUCUGGUCAAAGGUAGCAUUUUACAACCUGCUGGAUUUGGCGACAUGUCGCAGUCACUAUUUGCUGACCAAAAUAAAAAAUGAGACUGAAAGGACCCUAGGUAUCGUGCCAGCACAAAUAACCACAAAGACAUGAUCUGUCUUGCAAAAGCAUGACACUUUUCAGUUCUAUACAUUAUGAUUGUUUGACAUGCAAAUUUGUAAUCAUGCUCCAACUAGUAGCUUUAUGGUAAGUUUUGUGCUUGUCUGAAAAGAACCCUGUACUGCUGCUUGGAAGUUGCAACUAUUUUAAUAUUUUGAGGUAUAUGCUAAACCAGUUCAGCUUGUGCCAUGUAGUGAAGGCAAGAAAAUAGAACUUACUCAUCACAAGAAAAGUAUAAUAGCCUUACUUGUUUGUUUAUUUGAAAUUAUACUGAACAAAAAUACAGUGCAUUCGGAAAGUA